Long non-coding RNA from Acanthopagrus latus (yellowfin seabream), 553 nucleotides. RefSeq lists it as uncharacterized. The transcript has 2 exons. The record is from RefSeq and is a predicted model, not a curated record. Lineage: Eukaryota; Metazoa; Chordata; Actinopteri; Spariformes; Sparidae.
GAGUGUGAUGAAACCUUUCUUGAGAAGCACAAACAGAAGAAGACCAACAACUAGCAGGGUGAUGACAAGUGUAACAACAACAAUCACUCCAGUGUUGGACCCUGAAACAGAUAAAAGUGGAUGUGAGAGUCAGAAGUUGAGGUCAGAUGAUCAGCAGCAGACUGGACCUCACAGCCCACACAGAACCACUAAAGGUGUGAACUCACAGACAGUCGGUGUGAAGGAUUUAAACAGUCAGCAGCAGAAGAGGCAGCUGUGGAGCUUCACUACAGGCCUCGUUUGUGGAAACUGCCUCUCAACUGGAAAGGAGCCACAAACUUGACAGAAAAGGAGGCUCAGAGUUCAGGACCACUUUCAGUCUGAGCUCCUCAGUGGACCUGAGCCCGGUACCAACAUCAUUCUUUUAUGUCACUGACAAAAAGAUUCAGUGAUGAAGAUCCUGUGACAUCAGAACCAGAAGCAGCUCCAGUGUGACUCCAGGAGACGGAGCUCAGAUGUGUUUCAGGACUCAAAGUUUCUCUGAUUAAUCAACUAAAUGAACUCAUGAAUCAAG